UACAGAGGGUGCAAGCGUUGUUCGGAAUUAUUGGGCGUAAAGCGCGUGUAGGCGGCUUUGCAAGUCGGGUGUGAAAGCCCUCGGCUCAACCGAGGAAGUGCGCCCGAAACUGCAGAGCUUGGGUACCGGAGAGGAUGGCGGAAUUCCCCAAGUAGAGGUGAAAUUCGUAGAUAUGGGGAGGAACACCGGUGGCGAAGGCGGCCAUCUGGACGGAUACUGACGCUGAGACGCGAAAGCCAGGGGAGCAAACGGG
This 253-nucleotide ribosomal RNA is filed under the name uncultured bacterium. RNAcentral's name for it is "partial 16S ribosomal RNA". It matches the Rfam family "Bacterial small subunit ribosomal RNA", at positions 524 to 776 of the family's 1533-position model. The record is from RNAcentral.